This 94-nucleotide non-coding RNA is filed under the name unclassified sequences. The record is from Rfam.
CUGAUGGCGGCGUAUGGGUGGAAAUCGGAAUCAAUCGCCCAAUUCCCCUUCGCACCGGAGAAAAGUAUCCGGUAGGGCAACGCCUAAACGUCAG